GUGGGAAUGAUUGUUUGUGGAAUCGAACUGUGCUUUCUUUGUUGUUUUUGUUUUCUGCUUUUUUUUUUUCGUUUAUCUGAUUAUAGAGAGAAAGAUUUUAAUUAUUCUUUGUUUGUUGGUUGUGUGUUAGGGUUGAGGAUGUCCGUGGAAGAAAGGCAACGGGGAGGACUUAAAGCAUGAUCACAUCAAAGUUUCUGUCUAUUAUUUC
This 208-nucleotide long non-coding RNA is filed under the name Brassica napus (rape). RNAcentral's name for it is "long non-coding RNA (BNAP_LNC018264)". The record is from RNAcentral. Lineage: Eukaryota; Viridiplantae; Streptophyta; Magnoliopsida; Brassicales; Brassicaceae.